RNAcentral lists this long non-coding RNA (3194 nucleotides) under Lactuca sativa (garden lettuce). Its description in RNAcentral is "long non-coding RNA (LSAT_LNC004088)". The record is from RNAcentral. Lineage: Eukaryota; Viridiplantae; Streptophyta; Magnoliopsida; Asterales; Asteraceae.
UCAAGAUCUAUGAUUUAUGUCGGUAAUCGCCGCUACAACACCACUGUCGAAAGACUAGGCUAAAUCAACGAAUUCCGAUGAGUGACGAUGCAGAUCGGCGAGCGAUAAUGUAGAUCUACAAGCAUCAACUGGCAAGUUCAGAUCUAUGAGUUAGGUGAUCGACAAGGAUCCGCAACAAUCGCCUCCUUCCAGAUAUGUUUCAUGUCCGAUCUCUUCCAGCCACUUUGUUCAUCUUCGAUCUCCUCCAUCUCAGAUCACCACCUCCCUGCUACUCUACCACUGGUGCUCUACAUAUCUUAUUGAAAUUGAAGAUUAAUAAACAUCAAUAAUGUUGUAUACAAUCAAAUUCUACAACUGCAAAAAUCCAAAAACUACCUUUGAGUUGCCAUUAUCCAUUGACCUCCGACGCCUUGUUAUUGGAGCAGGUGUUCCUUUCUAUUUUCUUUUCUGGCCACUCACUACUAAUUUUUCGUCUGAGAAGAAGCAACUUCAAGCUUGUUUGCUACAGGAGAGGAAGUGCUUUUGAUAAAAGUACAACGAUCUCGAUUUUAGAGAGACAUUAAAGGUAAUCAUCCACUGUUAACUUUUAUUGUUUUCUAUAAAAUUGUCACUAUGACUACACAUUGUCUGCUAUGCAAGAAUAAGUUUUAUAUAUAUAUAUAUAUAUUUAUAUAUAUAUAUAUAUUUAUAUUUACUGUAGUCUAGUACUCUAGUCCCUGGACUAUUAUCAUAUUAGCCUUAUUUAUGUUUAUAAAAAUAUAAUAUGGGAUUUGACUUCAUAUUACUUUGAGUAAAUUACUGAAAUCUUUUCUGGGUUUGGCGAGAAUUGCACGUUUACUCUCUAAUUUUUUUUUUUGCACUCAGAUCGUCCUUGUGGUUUGAUUUUGUUGCGUUUUUCGUCCCUAUGGUUUGGUAAAAAUUGCAUGUUUGGUCUUUAACUUUAUGUAUGUAAGGGACGAAAAAUGCAACAAAAUCAAACCAUAGGGACGAAAAACGCAACAAAAUCAAACCAUAGGAACGAUCCGAAUGCAAAAGAAAGUUACGGACCAAAUGUACAACUUUGACCAAACCACAAGGGACGAUUUCAAUAAUUUACACUAUUACUUUUCUUCUUUUGUAUUACUUUUAGCUUUUGGUAUGUUUCACAACUUUUUUGUUUCUAAGAAUUUAGCUAAAUCUUAAAAUUUUAAAUUAUUAAUUAUAUAUGUUUUGUGUUUGAUUUUUUUAAUAAUAUAUCAAUCCAUUAUAAUUAAAGCCAUUUUAUUCUAAAAAUCUUGCUACCGUCUUUGAUAUCUAUGAUAAAAAAUAGUUUUGUUUCAAUCGUUUUAUUUUUUGUUAAGGUGUGAAUUUAAUGUCUUGAUAUCUCAUUUAUUGUAUGUUUCUGUUAAUCUUAUUUUAACUUCUAUUAAGUUGUGAAACAAUAUUCAUUUACUUAUUUGUUAUAAUAUUUGUAUAAAAUAGUAUUCAAACUUUAUGUUUUAUGGUUGUUAUUUUGUGAACUUAAUUUAUAAUGUGUGUUGUUAUGUUAGUUUCUUUUCUUCAAUUUAGUUUUUUUUUAAGUUGUGAAUUGUGAUGUUUUAAUUUUUCAAUUACUGUCUAGUUAUGUUUAUGUUAGUUUUUAACCGUGACCGAGUAAAUUAAUACUCCUUCCAUCCCAAAAUUAUAGUCCAUCUUUCAUUUUUGGUGUGUCCCAAAAUAAUAGUCCAUUUUUAAAAAUAAAUAAUAUUUUUACCAAAAUACCUCCUCAUUAUUAUUUAAAAAACUAAGCAUUUAAUGGAACAUUAAAUACAAAGUAAGGACAAAACUAUCAUUUUAUUAUAUAAAGUUAGUGGUAAUUAAUAUUUUUCUUAAUAUAUGUGUUUUUUGUUUGUGGACAAUAAUAUUAGAACGGAGGGAGUAUGUUUUAAGUUGUGAAUACUAUAAAUGAGAAUCCUAAACUAUUUUUAUUAAACUGUGAAUGAAAGUCCUGAAAUUUUUUAUUAAACUGUGAAUUUGUGUGGUACACAUAAAAUAUUUAAUGAAAUACUUCCACAAAAUCAAUUAUAUUUUUAAGUUGUAGUGCUAUGAAUGAGAGUUUUAAAAUGUUUUUUUUAUUAAACUGUGAAUUACAGUCUUAAAAUGUAAGUUUUAAUUUAAGAAAAUGCUCGUGAAUAUAUAUUUUUUGUGUAUUAAACUUUGAAAUCAUUAUAUUAAGCUGUGAUUUUUUUGUAUUAAACUUUUGAUUGUAUUAAGUUGUGGUACACAUAAAAUAUUUAAUGAAAUACUUCCCUUUUGUUGCCUCGACCACCGAUCAAAACCAUUUACAGAUCUGGAAAAAUCGAUGCCACCGACCGCCGAUGUCGAUCUUGUACACCUCCAAAUCUAUGAUGUGUGUUUCAUCUCCGAUUGUUGACCUCGCUAGAACACCAAAAAACGUUGCCUUCCUCCUUCCUCUUUGAUCUCCGAUGCUUUAACACCAACAACCACCUUUCUUCAGAUCUACAACUCCGGUGAGUGCCAAAUUGUUGAUGCCUUUCCUUCGCUGCAUCGAUGAACAUCUGUUGUCGACAACAUCAAAACAUCUUGAAAUCUGUAAUAACGGAUGCCAGCUACCGUCGAUGUCGGCUUUCUACACCUGUAAAUCUGUAAUGUGUGCUUCGUCACUGACCACUAACCUCGCUAGAGCACCAUAAAACGUUGCCUUCCUCCAUGAUCUUUGAUUUACUACUUCGAUGCUCUAACUCAAACCAGGUAAGAUGACUUCAAAUUUGAUUUUAUUCUUUAAGUUUUUAUGAUCUAAUACAAAUUUAAUACAAAACAUUUAGAUUAGUUAUCAUUUUAUUUAUAUAUGUAGAUGUUAUUUAUUUGAAGUUUGGAAAAGAAGCAUUAUGUAUAAAUACGAUUUUCUAUCAUUUUGAAUAAAGUAUUUUUGGUGCAGACAAAGUGUUUGAUGAAAUGUCUUAACGAAAUUCGCAAAGUUAUUAAGCUGUGAACUUCUAAAAAUAAAUAACAUUUUUACCAAAAUAUCCUCUCAUUAUUAGUUAACCAACUAAGCAUUUAAUGGAACAUUAAAUGCAAAGUAAGGACAAAAUUUUCAUUUUAUUAUAUAAAGUUAGUGGUAAUUAAUGCUUUUCUUAAUCUGUAUGUUUUUUGUCUGUGGACAAUAAUAUUGGGACGGAGGGAGUAUUAAAUUAAGCGGUAGAAACAAUGCAAAC